UACGGAGGAUGCGAGCGUUAUCCGGAUUUAUUGGGUUUACAGGGUGCGUAGGCGGAUCAUUAAGUCAGUGGUCAAAUUGAGGGGCUCAACCCCUUCCCGCCAUUGAAACUGGCGAUCUUGAGUGGAAGAGAAGUAUGCGGAAUGCGUGGUGUAGCGGUGAAAUGCAUAGAUAUCACGCAGAACCCCGAUUGCGAAGGCAGCAUGCCGGCUUCCUACUGACGCUGAAGCACGAAAGCGUGGGGAUCGAACAGG
This 252-nucleotide ribosomal RNA is filed under the name uncultured bacterium. RNAcentral describes it as "partial 16S ribosomal RNA". It matches the Rfam family "Bacterial small subunit ribosomal RNA", at positions 524 to 776 of the family's 1533-position model. The record is from RNAcentral.